CAUAAUAGUUUUAAAACAAAUUAUAAGUUUUUACUGUACCCUGUUUUAGCAGAUUUUUCAACUGAAAACAAAUUUGCAAUCACAACCUGAAGAAUCAAAGUGGAUGAGAAUGCAAGUGUUGCCAGUCAUUGAAAUUAUAUAGUAGUAUAGAGUAUUAUAGAGAGUAUUAUAGUUACAAAAAGGCAUUUAUUCUUUCAGUAAAAUCUCACUAAAAUUAAAACCAUCCCUUACAGUAUAUGACUGAGGUCUGCAGAGGCAUAUUGUAUGAGCAGAGGCAAUAACACAUUCUCUCUCUACUCUGAUUUUCAUGUCUCCAGUUUGUCUAGAACACUGAAGGGAGGGAGGGACGGGGACACAUAUGCCAGUCUGCAGCUCCCCAACAUCAGCCCUGAAUAUGACGUGCUGCAGGUAA
This is a long non-coding RNA of Anguilla rostrata (American eel), 412 nucleotides long. RefSeq lists it as uncharacterized. NCBI's taxonomy places the organism in Eukaryota, Metazoa, Chordata, Actinopteri, Anguilliformes, Anguillidae. The transcript has 2 exons. The record is from RefSeq and is a predicted model, not a curated record.